AGAGUUUGAUCCUGGCUCAGAUUGAACGCUGGCGGUAUGCUUAACACAUGCAAGUCGAACGGUAACAGGCCUUCGGGCGCUGACGAGUGGCGGACGGGUGAGUAACGCGUAGGAAUCUGCCUCAUAGUGGGGGACAACGUGGGGAAACUCACGCUAAUACCGCAUACGCCCUACGGGGGAAAGCGGGGGAUCUUCGGACCUCGCGCUAUGAGAUGAGCCUGCGUUAGAUUAGCUAGUUGGUAGGGUAAAGGCCUACCAAGGCGACGAUCUAUAGCUGGUCUGAGAGGACGAUCAGCCACACUGGGACUGAGACACGGCCCAGACUCCUACGGGAGGCAGCAGUGGGGAAUAUUGGACAAUGGGCGCAAGCCUGAUCCAGCAAUACCGCGUGUGUGAAGAAGGCCCUAGGGUUGUAAAGCACUUUCAAUUGGGAGGAAAACCUGCCGGUCAAUACCCGGUAGCUUGACAUUACCUUUAGAAGAAGCACCGGCUAACUCCGUGCCAGCAGCCGCGGUAAUACGGAGGGUGCAAGCGUUAAUCGGAAUUACUGGGCGUAAAGCGUGCGUAGGCGGUUCGUUAAGUCAGAUGUGAAAGCCCCGGGCUUAACCUGGGAACUGCAUUUGAAACUGGCGGACUAGAGUUGAGUAGAGGGGAGUGGAAUUUCAGGUGUAGCGGUGAAAUGCGUAGAUAUCUGAAGGAACACCAGUGGCGAAGGCGACUCCCUGGACUCAAACUGACGCUGAGGUACGAAAGCGUGGGUAGCAAACAGGAUUAGAUACCCUGGUAGUCCACGCUGUAAACGAUGUCAACUAGCCGUUGGUCCUAUUUACAGGAUUAGUGGCGCAGCUAACGCAUUAAGUUGACCGCCUGGGGAGUACGGCCGCAAGGUUAAAACUUAAAGGAAUUGACGG
RNAcentral lists this ribosomal RNA (911 nucleotides) under uncultured bacterium. RNAcentral describes it as "bacterial SSU rRNA". It matches the Rfam family "Bacterial small subunit ribosomal RNA", at positions 8 to 916 of the family's 1533-position model. The record is from RNAcentral.